CGCAAGCCUGACGGAGCAACGCCGCGUGAGGGAGGAAGGCCUGUGGGUUGUAAACCUCUUUUAUCAGGGAAGAAUAACUGACGGUACCUGAUGAAUCAGCAUCGGCUAACUCCGUGCCAGCAGCCGCGGUAAGACGGAGGAUGCAAGCGUUAUCCGGAAUGAUUGGGCGUAAAGCGUUCGUAGGUGGCAAUUCAAGUCUGCUGUCAAAGACAGUAGCUCAACUACUGCAAGGCAGUGGAAACUGAAUAGCUAGAGUGCGGUAGGGGCAGAGGGAAUUCCCGGUGUAGCGGUGAAAUGCGUAGAGAUCGGGAAGAACACCGGUGGCGAAAGCGCUCUGCUGGGCCGCAACUGACACUGAGGGACGAAAGCUAGGGGAGCG
This 379-nucleotide ribosomal RNA is filed under the name uncultured cyanobacterium. RNAcentral's name for it is "bacterial SSU rRNA". It matches the Rfam family "Bacterial small subunit ribosomal RNA", at positions 376 to 770 of the family's 1533-position model. The record is from RNAcentral. Lineage: Bacteria; Bacillati; Cyanobacteriota.